GAUGAACGCUGGCGGCGUGCUUAACACACGCAAGUCGAACGGAAAGGCCCAAGCUUGCUUGGGUACUCGAGUGGCGAACGGGUGAGUAACACGUGGGUGAUCUGCCCUGCACUUCGGGAUAAGCCUGGGAAACUGGGUCUAAUACCGGAUAGGACGAUGGUUUGGAUGCCAUUGUGGAAAGUUUUUUCGGUGUGGGAUGAGCUCGCGGCCUAUCAGCUUGUUGGUGGGGUAAUGGCCUACCAAGGCGUCGACGGGUAGCCGGCCUGAGAGGGUGUACGGCCACAUUGGGACUGAGAUACGGCCCAGACUCCUACGGGAGGCAGCAAUGGGGAAUAUUGCACAAUGGGCGCAAGCCUGAUGCAGCGACGCCGCGUGGGGGAUGACGGCCUUCGGGUUGUAAACUCCUUUCGCUAGGGACGAAGCGUUUUUGUGACGGUACCUGGAGAAGAAGCACCGGCUAACUACGUG
Molecule: ribosomal RNA, 468 nt
Filed under: uncultured bacterium
Lineage: Bacteria
Description: partial 16S ribosomal RNA
Rfam family: Bacterial small subunit ribosomal RNA
Source: RNAcentral